Molecule: ribosomal RNA, 253 nt
Filed under: uncultured bacterium
Lineage: Bacteria
Description: partial 16S ribosomal RNA
Rfam family: Bacterial small subunit ribosomal RNA
Source: RNAcentral
UACAGAGGGUGCUAGCGUUAAUCGGAUUGACUGGGCGUAAAGCGCGCGUAGGCGGCCAAUUAAGUCAAAUGUGAAAUCCCCGAGCUUAACUUGGGAAUGGCAUUCGAUACUGGUUGGCUAGAGUGUGGGAGAGGAUGGUAGAAUUCCAGGUGUAGCGGUGAAAUGCGUAGAGAUCUGGAGGAAUACCGAUGGCGAAAGCAGCCAUCUGGCCUAACACUGACGCUGAGGUGCGAAAGCAUGGGGAGCAAACAGG